UUGCUUUAAUGGAGGAGUCAACAUAUAAACCAUCAUGUAUUGAGAAUGCAGGAUAAAUUGGAGGUCAUCUAGAGAGAGAGGGCCCUAGCAUUAAAAGGGAACCAAAAAAGCUUCUUGCAGAAAGUGUGCCUGUAACAAGAUGUGAAGGAAGCCAGAAAGCAGAAGUCAGAAUUCCGGGCCCCGGGGAGACAGCCUGUGGAGAUUCUGCAGUUGGGAAAUAGAGUGUCUUUCCCAGCAUUCACUGGAUCACAGAGUGCAUGGAAAGGUUAGAAGGAGCUGGGUUUUGGAGGACUUUCUCAAUGUGGAUUUUACAUUUAAUUAAAGAUAAUGGGGAGUCCCUGGAAUCUGGUAAAUGUGGAGCGGGGGGAUCUGAGGAAGAUGGCGGAGUAGGUUGUGAAUGUGGGGAACACGACACCAUCCAUCCCGGGAAGAUGGACAUCAAGCAUCCGUGGCGAACUCUGAAAAAUGAGAAGCAUGGCCAAGAAGUCAGAGCUGGGCCUGGCGGUGCCGUGAAUGGAGCAAGCAGUCUCUUCCAAGCCUCACCAGGUUCUUCCUACUCCUACCUCUCAUCAGGUGGUCUACUUUCUGGCACCCAGAGACAGGGAGACCAUCAAUGACCAAGGCACAUGGCUGUCCAGCACAGAGGAUAUGAGACACAUAAGCAUAUAUAUAGGCCAUAAGAAACCGAGAAUGGAGGGGAAAUUAAGGACCAAAUGUGAUGGCAUGGGAAAGAAAAACUAGAGGCUUUGCGUCCCCAGACCUUACCCUUUCAGCCCUUCAGCCUCCCUAACCCUUUCCCACCUCAGCUGCAUAAGAAAGAAACGGGAAGCUUGAGCUGUCAGCUCCUCAGGCUUGCAGGCUGGGUACCCAGGCUCGAAUCCCAUCUUUCUCAUUGGCCAGCUUCUGGCUCAAUCACAGGAGCCUACGAAGUCAUAAGGUGACCACGACUGCGUUCGGUUCGGUUUGGCAGCUCCGGCACUCUAGGCGGCCCCAGUUGUGAGGUGGGCCUUGCUAGGCCGCAUCUCGGGCUGCCCGAUGGCGGUGGCCGAGACUCGAGGACCUUCGGCGCUGCUUCUCCAAGCCCGCUCCAGAGACCCUAGGCGCAUCUUUCAGAGGACGUGGGAACUGCAGAAUGAGCGGUUUUCUAAGUCAAUAUGCAGCAGGAUAUGCAAAGAUCCUUACUGUUAGUGGCCCUGUUUCUAUUUGAGUUUACCACCAUUGUUAUGGAGGAAAGUCUGCUGGGUUUGGAGUCAGGAGAUUUUGACAUUGGAAGUCUAACCCUGGCACUCUGGCAUAUACUUGUGGGGCUUUAGGUCUGCACAUCAGGACUAUAUUUACCUCAUAGAGUCAGGGACAACACCAUCUUUUUAUUUGAUUUUGGACUGUUCUGAUAUGAUUCAUUUAUAAAUACAUAAGGUUCUAGCACCAUCUUUUUAUUUGGCAGCUGAAUAAUGAUUUGCUCAGUCAUCCUCUGAUAGUGUGAUUAUAUCAGUUAUUUGUUGAUUAUUUUGUCAAUUUGGGUAUCCAUUUUUUGUAAAUAGUUAUCUCUAUAUUCUCUGUUUUGUUGCCACUUGUGUAGUAAUAUUCUCAAUCUUCUUUAUAUCAUCCUCAUUCCUUGUGAUUUCUCUCUUUCUCUUUUCCAAUUUUGAAGUUGGGAUUAUUUUUGAUUACAUAUGCCAGUGGUUUAUCCAUUUUAUUUAUCCUUUUUUUAAUAGCCAACUCUUUUGUUAAUUUAGUGAUAUUUUUAUUUGAAAAAUGUUUUGGUUCAUUUCUCGUUUAAUUCUAGCAAUUUUCUUUUUUGGUCUCAUUUUGGAGGUAUUGAACUGUUUAUUUUUAAUUUUUUAAAAAAUAUUAAGUCAACUCAUAACAUUUCUUAUGCCCCCUCCCCCCGGAUAUAAAUUGGCCCCUGAAUAUUGCUUUAGCCUUGUCCAAUAAAGUUGAUAUUAUAUAAUUGUGGUUUCCUGUAAUUAAUUUAAUUUACACAUGCAUUAUUGAGACAUAUUUUAUUUUCCAUAAAGGCCUUCAUUUAUUAAGUGUAUUUCUCCUUUUGAUAACUUUUUUAUUAUAUAGUGAUUUAAAAACAUGUUUAAGACUUAUUUAUUUGUUUUGUCCAUUUUUGUGAAUGAUUUCUGUGUAUUUGGGAAAAAAUAUUCUCUUCCUUUUCCCCAUUGAGUUCUAUCAAAUCUACCUUUUUCAGCACUCUGUUCACAUCUGUAAUUGCUUUCUUAUUAAUCUUUUUUAUUUUGAUUUGUCAUUAUGUUAGCAGGAUGUCAAAGUUUCCCACUGUUUAUUGUAUUAUAUGCAUUUUUUUGGUAACUCAAUACAUUUUCAUUUAUAAAGUGCCUUGCUGUGUCAUUAGGUAUAUAUAUGCUUAAUAUUGAUAUCCUCUUCAUUGUCAAUGACACUUUUUAAUUUUUCUUUAUUUUUCAAUAUUUUUAUUUCCAUUAAGCUCAAAUAUUUGAAUAAAAAUACAAAAAGUGAAAAGAAACUAAGCAAAAAGUAAUUGUGAAUGAUUAUAAUGUAACUCUGCAGAGAUUGUGUGUAAACUUUUUCUGAGAUCUUAACAAAGAUGGUUUAUGCAUUUGACAUAGUUCCAUUGUGGUUAAUAUUGUCUUUCUGUCUUUUUAUGAGAGGCAGCAUGGCAAAGUGAAUAGGGAGCCAGUCUUUGAUGCAGGAAGACCUGGGUUCAAGGCCUGUCUCCGACUGGUCAGGUGACUGUAGGCAACUCAUGUGACUUUAGUUCUCUUGGCAAUUGUCUAAAGCUCCAAUAGGGUGGACUUUCCUCACCACAGAGUUCCCUAUGACAGUGAAAUGCUAGGACUCAUAGCCAUCCUGGCCUUGUUUUUCACAACUGGAAGCAGAGAGUGUGUUCUCUUUUGACUUCUUUCUUCACUCGGGUGUCACUGUACUUCCUAAGUUUUCCUUGAGGUCAAGAAUGUUUUGAUUGUUGUGUUCCCAAGAUGAAGUGUGAUACUUGGAAGUCCUGACAUAUUUAGCUUUCGAAUAAUUGCUUGAAUUGAAUUUUUUUACUUCUUCAUGUUUACCAUUUUGUUAUGCUUUAAUAUUUAAUUGCCUUCAUAUAACAUUUUUCAUUCAUUCAGGAAACAUUUUUUAAACAUUUGCCAGGCACUAUGCUUAGUGCUAGGGAAACAAAAAGAGGCAAAAGACAGCCCUUCCCCUCAGAGAGGAGCUCACAAUCUAAUGGGAGAGACAACAUGCAGACAAAUACAUACAAAGCAAGCUCUAUAUGGGAUAAAUAGGCAUUAAUCAACAAAGGAGAGACACUGGAAUGAAGAGGGGUUGAGAAAGGCUUCCUAUGGAAAGUGGAUUUUAAUUGGGACUUAAAGGAAGCCAGGGAGGAGAGUAGGGGGAGUGGAGGAGAAGGGAAUGUUCCAGGCAUAUGGGACAGCCAGAGGGAAUGCCUGGAUCUGACAAAUGGAGUGCCUUGUUCGUGGAACAGCCAGGAGGCCAGAGUCACUGGAUCACAGAAUACCUGUCGGGGAGUAAGGUGUAAGAAGACUGGAAAGGUAGGAGGGGAUAGGGCAUGAAAGGCUUUGAAUUCCUAACAGAACAUUUUACAUUUGUUCCUGGAGGUAUUAGAAACUCCUAGAGUUUAUUGAGGUGGGGGAAGGGGGUGAUGAGAUCAGACAUCCACUUUAAGAGAAUCACUUUAUUAGCCGAAUGGAAAAUUAGUCAUAAAGGGCUAAACAAGGAUAAACUUUAUAUCCUAAUACAGGAAGAUGAUAUAUGUAUCAUCAAGAAUCACAGAGGGAGAUGAGGCUUGACAGUAGUUUGUUACAUUUUGAUGAUCUGAAAUGAAAAAUGGAAAGGGAGGGAAAGAGAAUUGGGUGAGGGAGGUGGAGAUAGGAGAGAAAGAAUGGGGGAAAUUGCCUCACUUAGUUGUGCUUUAUACAAAUAAGAAGGAAGGGGUGCAAGAGAGAGAGGAUAACACGAAUCUUUCAUCUAAACUAGUCAAAGGAGGGAAGAGUAUACACUUUUGGAUACAAAAAUACAUUUCAUUCAAUAGGGAAACAGGAGGAAAAGGUAGGGGAUAAGAGGGUGGGUAGACUAGGGGAGGGAUUAACUGGAAGGAAAGAUGGGAUAUGAAAGAAAGAAAAGUAAAAAACUAGUAUGGAAGAGACAACUAAAAAUCAUAGCUUUAAUGUAAUCACCCAUAAUACAGAAAAGGGUAGCAAAUUGGAUUAGAAAG
This is a long non-coding RNA of Antechinus flavipes (yellow-footed antechinus), 4210 nucleotides long. RefSeq lists it as uncharacterized. The record is from RefSeq and is a predicted model, not a curated record. The transcript is spliced from 8 exons. Lineage: Eukaryota; Metazoa; Chordata; Mammalia; Dasyuromorphia; Dasyuridae.